RNAcentral lists this non-coding RNA (100 nucleotides) under Flavobacterium sp. RNAcentral describes it as "SAM-I sequence". It matches the Rfam family "SAM riboswitch aptamer (S box leader)". Rfam says of the family: The SAM riboswitch is found upstream of a number of genes which code for proteins involved in methionine or cysteine biosynthesis in Gram-positive bacteria. The SAM riboswitch acts at the level of transcription termination control. Lineage: Bacteria; Pseudomonadati; Bacteroidota; Flavobacteriia; Flavobacteriales; Flavobacteriaceae. The record is from RNAcentral.
UACUUAUCCAGAAAGACGGAGGGAAUAGGCCCAAUGAUGUCUUAGCAACCUGUUACCGAAUAAGGUGCUAAAUCCUUCCGCACAGGCGGACAGAUAAGAA